This 2328-nucleotide long non-coding RNA is filed under the name Homo sapiens (human). RNAcentral describes it as "HSALNT0326473". The record is from RNAcentral. Lineage: Eukaryota; Metazoa; Chordata; Mammalia; Primates; Hominidae.
UUUCUACCAGACCUCGCACUAAAUAGGUAGCACCCCUCAUUCCCCAGCCAAAGAUGUGGUGGUGGGCUGGGGGGGGGGGUGGGUGGUGCAGAAACAGCUAAAAGUAAAAUAGAAGCUUUAGCUAAAUCCAGAACCUUAUGACUUAACACUCAAAAUGUCUAUGUUUCAAUUAAAAAUCAUUUCUCAUACAAGAACCAGGAAUAUCUCACAUUGAAUGAAAAAAGACAGAUGUCAACAUCUAGAUGGCAGAGACAGUAGAAUUUUAAACAAGCAAUUAUAAAAAUGCUUCACUGAGUACUUAUGAACAUGUUUGAAACAAAUGAAGAAAUAGAAACUGUCACAAAGAAAUAGAAAGUCUUAGCAGAGAAAUAAAAGAUAUUUAAAAAAGAACCAAAAGGAAAUGUUAGAUCUGAAAUACAAAACUGAAAUAAAAAUCUUAACAGCAGAAUGGAGGGCACAGAGGAAAGGAUCAGUGAACUGAAAGAUAGAACAAAAGGAAAGAUCCAAUCUGAAUAACAGAGAAAAUAAAAUGGAAAAAUGAACAGUGCCUCAGGGACCCAUGAGACUAAAAAAAGAUCGCACAUUCCUGUCACUGUGGGUCUCUGAAGAGAGAAAGAAGAUGGCAGGGUUGAAAAAAUACUCAAAGAAAUAAUGGCUGAAAAUCUCUCAAAUUUGGCAAAUGACAUAAACCUACAGACACCAGAAGUGAAGUAAACCCAAAGAAAUCCGUACAAGACACAUCACAAUUGAUCUUCCGAAAAGCAAAGGCAAAAAGUCUUAAAAGUAGCUCAAGAGAAAUGACACCUGAUCUGUAGGGAAAAGCAAUUUGAACGACAAUGGACUUCUUAUCAGGAGUCAUGAAGCCACAUGGAAGUAGCAAACAUUUUCAAGUGCUGAAGAAGGGGAACUCUUAACCCAGAAUCCUUGGAUAUCCACUGGAAACAAUUCAUGAAGGACAUUCUCAGAUAAAGGAAAACUAAGAGAGUUUGUCACCAGCAAACGUAUCCUUCAUUUUGAAUUAAUGCUUUUGUGCAAGUAUUUCCAGAUAGCAUAGCAACCAAGUGGGGUUAGGGUGAUGGUGGACACUCCUUCUGGAGUAGCAGUGCAAGUUUCCUAUCCAACAUGGGUCCAUGGACCUCACAAAGUUGGUUUAUGGUUGGACUUUAGAAAGGUCCAUAACUUCCCAAUAUUGUAUGCACAAUUUGUUCCCCAUGUGGAUUUCUUUGAGGUGACAGUCAAAUACUUUCAUUAGAUUCUCAAGGGAUCCAGGACCUAAAGAUAUUUAAACCAUGGUAAUAUCACCAAUGAUACAGUGACUUACGUUGAUGCCAUAUGCUGAAUUAACUCCUUUGAGAAGUUUUGUCCUCAUUUGAGUUAAGAUGGGACAUGGUAGAUAAGCUAGAAUAAAGAUACAUUCAUUUAAGAAGCUGGAAAUUGUAUCAUUAAAAUUCCUUAUUAAGUAUUCUAGUGAGGAAGCUGAAAUAUAGUGGCAUGUAUAGCUGAUCAGGAGCCAGUGAGGAAACCCCAGGGACAGGUGGCUGAAAGGAUUUAAUAGCACAGAAAUUGUAUACAUCAGGGUCCAGGAGGUGAAGGAGAUCUCUUUACAUGAACAGUCUACAGAAAUCUUGAGUAAGGCUUUGGAUUUCCACAGUGCAUUGACCUAGGCAUUUAAGCCAAUCAUAUCUAAAUUCAAAUGGCAACAAAAUAUUUUUAAAAAUCUUUCAAAGCAGGUGAUGCUACAGUCUCUGUGCUUCACAAAUCCAAGUUAUCAUUAUUGGCUACCACUCCUCCAUAUGCACAGGCAAUAAGUCAGGUAUUCCUUCCAGUAAUUGGGGCUACAAUGUAAACUUAGCAAAGCUUCCAGAUUAACACAUUUGUAAAAACAAGACUUCCUAAUAACCUGUCAUCUGCUUUCCCAAUUUCUCUAUAAUUUUAGUCUGUAGAUGACAUUCUUGUGGAGUUUUAGGUGACUGUCAUAUUGCAGCCAUCUGGCAGCCUGUUUAAGAAGCACAACUCUGACAUUAUAAGAUGAUGAAUCAGUGGUUAAAAACAAAACAAAAGGUGGUUGAUGUUUAUUGUAAUACAAUCUUAUAAAAUCUGAGAGUAUUAACUAAUUAGUAUUUAUAAAAGCAUCUUCAAACUGAAAUAUCCAUUACCAUUGAAAAUCAUUUUAACUAGAUAAAAUAUUUCCCCAAGUUGUUUUUUUGUGACACAAAAUAAAAUAGUGGACAUUCAAUGAUUAUAAAAUGCUUGUUUGCUUUUAGAAUGGGCAUAUCAUGGAUAUCAGGGUUUUUUGUGCGUGCUUAUGUAAUUUCCUUGCUAGUAAUU